Molecule: long non-coding RNA, 970 nt
Organism: Chrysemys picta bellii (western painted turtle)
Lineage: Eukaryota; Metazoa; Chordata; Testudines; Emydidae
Source: RefSeq, a predicted model, not a curated record
AGGAAUAUAUGUUCUUGUGGUUAAAGUGCUGUACUGGGACUCAGAAGAUCGGAAUAAAUUCUGGCCCUGCCAUAGACUACUUAUGUAACCUUGGAUACAUGGACUGCCUUUCCUGUCUCUGGUAAUGGAACAAUAUCUGAAUGGUGAAUACAGCAAUUUCCUACAUGGAAAAAGUAGCAGUAAUGCAAUUUAGUAGGUAGGAACAAACAGCUGAACCAGCAUCAUGUGACCAGCCAGCUCUCCACAGACCAUUGGUGGGAGUUUAUUGGAUGGGAUGUCUGUGUGGAUAUCCUUGAGACCAGUUUGGAUAAUUCCAUGGAAACUAUUGAGUCCCCAGCUCCAGCCUCCACACCAAAAUCCAGUGGAAUCCAGCCCUUGAAUGCAUGCAUAGAAAGAUUUCCUGUAGAUUGGAGUGAAUUACUUCCAAACGGUGUAUAGCAAAGUUCAUUAGAAAAAAUAAAGAAAAUCACAUCAAAUGUUAUAGCAUAAAAUCACAUCUUGUGUAAAUUUGGGUAACAGCCUAGUAAUAUCAACAUAUAUGUAUAGAUAUGGGUGAAUGUUACAUUCUGUCUCUCUCCCAUUCUAUUGGAGUCUUUGCGUGUCUCUUAACAUUGCAGCAUUUCAGAGGCUCUCGGACACAUCAGAGGUCACUGAGUAAGUGUUGUUACCACCUACUCCUAUAUUAGGGGGUUCUGUCAAGUAUACAUUGGAGAAUUUUACAAGUAACUUAGAAAUGUUGUGACCCUUUACUGCCUUACUCAGUUGUAUGAUGCAUUUGCGGUUAUUAUUCAGCCCCCAGCUAUGGAGUCAUACUACUGCGGUAGCUGUUCUGUUCUGAGAGAGGCAAUAUAUUUACCUAGGUGCAACCUCUGGAACACAAAUUAAUCCCUGUCCCUUUCCCUAGAAUGGUUGCCUUUCUAUGCCAUGUUUAUUUAAAAAAUAACCAAAACCAAUCCCAUCCCAGAGAUAU